Non-coding RNA from Paramuricea clavata, 282 nucleotides. Lineage: Eukaryota; Metazoa; Cnidaria; Anthozoa; Malacalcyonacea; Plexauridae. The record is from the annotation of a GenBank genome assembly.
AUUCAUUACAAUGAAUCAGAUGCAGAAUCUUACAACUAUGUUAUUUGUUCACCUGAUUGGGAAAAACCUGAGACUAUUUGAUCUUAUUGGAAUGCCUACCAAUUUUACAUAGCCUCAGCCAAUGUUUAUAUAAUUAAUCUCAAGUAAUAGAGAUGCUGUACCCCCUGAGGGAGUGACACUACUACCUGGAUCAUCCCACUAGGCAAGACAAAUUCAAAACUUUCCAUGCAAACACUUGCAUGGCAGUUGCUAUAAUAGGAUAUGAUAGUUGCUAUAUUAGGA